This 253-nucleotide ribosomal RNA is filed under the name uncultured bacterium. RNAcentral's name for it is "partial 16S ribosomal RNA". It matches the Rfam family "Bacterial small subunit ribosomal RNA", at positions 524 to 776 of the family's 1533-position model. The record is from RNAcentral.
UACAGAGGUGGCAAGCGUUGUUCGGAAUUACUGGGCGUAAAGGGCGCGUAGGCGGCCCGUCAAGUCCCGUGUGAAAGCCCCCGGCUCAACCGGGGAACGGCGCGGGAAACUAGCAGGCUUGAGUUCAGGAGAGGGAUGCGGAAUUCCAGGUGUAGCGGUGAAAUGCGUAGAUAUCUGGAGGAACACCGGUGGCGAAGGCGGCAUCCUGGACCGACACUGACGCUGAGGAGCGAAAGCCAGGGGAGCAAACGGG